RNAcentral lists this ribosomal RNA (644 nucleotides) under Escherichia coli. RNAcentral describes it as "partial 23S ribosomal RNA". It matches the Rfam family "Bacterial large subunit ribosomal RNA", at positions 614 to 1258 of the family's 2925-position model. Lineage: Bacteria; Pseudomonadati; Pseudomonadota; Gammaproteobacteria; Enterobacterales; Enterobacteriaceae. The record is from RNAcentral.
AAUGGGUCAGCGACUUAUAUUCUGUAGCAAGGUUAACCGAAUAGGGGAGCCGAAGGGAAACCGAGUCUUAACUGGGCGUUAAGUUGCAGGGUAUAGACCCGAAACCCGGUGAUCUAGCCAUGGGCAGGUUGAAGGUUGGGUAACACUAACUGGAGGACCGAACCGACUAAUGUUGAAAAAUUAGCGGAUGACUUGUGGCUGGGGGUGAAAGGCCAAUCAAACCGGGAGAUAGCUGGUUCUCCCCGAAAGCUAUUUAGGUAGCGCCUCGUGAAUUCAUCUCCGGGGGUAGAGCACUGUUUCGGCAAGGGGGUCAUCCCGACUUACCAACCCGAUGCAAACUGCGAAUACCGGAGAAUGUUAUCACGGGAGACACACGGCGGGUGCUAACGUCCGUCGUGAAGAGGGAAACAACCCAGACCGCCAGCUAAGGUCCCAAAGUCAUGGUUAAGUGGGAAACGAUGUGGGAAGGCCCAGACAGCCAGGAUGUUGGCUUAGAAGCAGCCAUCAUUUAAAGAAAGCGUAAUAGCUCACUGGUCGAGUCGGCCUGCGCGGAAGAUGUAACGGGGCUAAACCAUGCACCGAAGCUGCGGCAGCGACACUGUGUGUUGUUGGGUAGGGGAGCGUUCUGUAAGCCUGUGAAGGUG